Molecule: long non-coding RNA, 818 nt
Organism: Homo sapiens (human)
Lineage: Eukaryota; Metazoa; Chordata; Mammalia; Primates; Hominidae
Gene: CASC19
Product: cancer susceptibility 19
Source: Ensembl
CAAGAUAACACUAACAAAGUUGACCUUAGAAUUGGAGUGCCUGGGUUAGAACCCUGCUGGUACCACCUGCUUACUGCAUGCUUCUGAUGUGAGUUCAGGAGAAGACACUGGCAAGGACAGCAAAGAACAGGAGAACACUCUAGCUUCCCUGAUAGCAUUCAAGGUGCUGUCCAAAGCUCUUGAGUUUCUGCUUUCAAGUGACCCUCAGAAAUUCCUCCAUUCACUGCAGAGGUUCUGUUUCUCCUUGCUUUGUUCUGACUUUACGGCAGAACUAAGCUAAUGAGUUAGUUACUAUGGGUUAUCACUUGGAUUUGAAGAACCAUCAUUUCUAGGCAUUGCUGCUCAGAGUGGACAGCAGACAGAGCAUGAAUGAGACCCCCAAAGAAGGGAAGCAAAUGAGACAAGCCCCACAAUUAUUCUGGCUUUUUGCCUAGAGACAAUCUAUGAACUGUGGGGCAAACAACAGAGAUCAAAACAGCUUGGCAAUCUGAGUUGAGGAUGAAGACACCAUUGGGGCAGAAGCAGCGAUAGCUCAAAUUUGUGGAGCAAAGUACCGGAGAAGAUAAACUGCUCCAAAUUCCAAGAGGCUGGGCAAAGAAAAACUUUGUGGAAAGAAGAAUUAUCAGGGAACUCUAAGCUGAAAAAUUGCCAGGGCUCACACAGACCUGGGGAAUUGGUUGAGUUUAUGCCACCUACAGGAUAGAGAACUUGCUGAAUGUUCAAGGAUUUUGUUACAGAUGCAAGAUGACACUUAAAGGGAUGCAAAACUAACAUCUCUGGAUUAGUCUUAAUAAAGUUUAAAAAUAAGCUUAGAAAAA